UGCCCCAUGGCUGAGUUGGUUACAGCGUCCGACUGUUAUCAUUCAUCCUCGAUGUACAGCAUCAAUCGGAAGGUCGAGAGUUCGAGCCUCUCUGGGGCAG
RNAcentral lists this transfer RNA (100 nucleotides) under Armillaria solidipes. RNAcentral describes it as "tRNA-Asn". It matches the Rfam family "tRNA". Rfam says of the family: Transfer RNA (tRNA) molecules are approximately 80 nucleotides in length. The record is from RNAcentral. Lineage: Eukaryota; Fungi; Basidiomycota; Agaricomycetes; Agaricales; Physalacriaceae.